ACACCUCAACUCUUCAUGGUUUUCUGUGAUGAGCUUGGACUUUGGGGGUUUUGCUGGCCUAUGGUCGGCUCCUCUGAAAUGAAUCAGCUUGCCGGUGUUUGGUGGGCAUCACAGGUGUGAUAACUAUCUACGCUUGUGGUUCUCCGCCAGGUGACCUCCAGCGAUGGGGGUUCGCCGGAGCUCACAAACGUCUCUCCUCGGCGAGGACGGCUCUUUGAAC
This 220-nucleotide unclassified non-coding RNA is filed under the name uncultured Tomentella. RNAcentral's name for it is "sequence contains ITS2". Lineage: Eukaryota; Fungi; Basidiomycota; Agaricomycetes; Thelephorales; Thelephoraceae. The record is from RNAcentral.